GGCAGAGGGAAGCCACCAAGGUGCCAUUGAGGAUUGGUGUCUGGCUCUCUAUGGGCAAGAGCGCCAGGGGACACACAGUGGGACCGGAACCUUCCAGAAUGUCUCCUCAGUCAGGGCCCUGUGCUAAUCACGAGUCUUUCCUGUUCAGAGCAGUGAGGCCUGAGACCCUCAACGGUGCUGUGUGUACAGAAGGCCCCCAGAAUCCACAGAAAGGGCCCGCCUGAAACCUAGAGCAUUUGUGAAGGAGGAGAAUGGAAGGAACAACUGGAUGUUGUAAAUGUUUCUCAUCUGGCCUUAAAAUCCAUGAAAGCUGGAAAAUGCCAAGGCAUCUGUGCACAUACUGGUGGAUUUUAAUGAGAGUCCUGUGUUUGGAGCACCAGAAAUAAACCAGCUUCAGAAGCAAAGUUAACAGGAGGAGGAAGCAGAGCUAGAGCUGGAAGGAGACCCAGCCAGCCCGGGCUCCAGUGACAUCAGCCGGUACACGCUCUUGUUUGCUUACGCUUGUUGAACUGAGUUUUUCAUAUGUAACUAACCAAUACUGGCACAUGUGAGACUGGGCAUGAUUCAGAAAAGCUGGAAGAUCUAGAGAGGGAUCUUGCA
This 600-nucleotide small RNA is filed under the name Pongo abelii (Sumatran orangutan). Its description in RNAcentral is "processed transcript". Lineage: Eukaryota; Metazoa; Chordata; Mammalia; Primates; Hominidae. The record is from RNAcentral.